GCCGGGCGCGGUGACAUAUGCCUGUAGUCCCAGCUACUCGGGAGGCUGAGACAGGAGGAUCGCUUGAGUCCAGGAGUUCUGGGCUGUAGUGCGCUAUGCAGAUCGGGUGUCCGCACUAAGUUCGGCAUCAAUAUGGUGACCUCCCAGGAGCGGGGGGCCACCAGGUUGCCUAAGGAGGGGUGAACCAGCCCAGGUCGGAAACGGAGCAGGUCAAAACUCCGGUGCUGAUCAUUAUAUGGGAAGGUCAUUUAAGGUAGCCUCUUUACUAUUGCUUAUAUUCUUAGUUGGGUCAUCUUU
Mesocricetus auratus (golden hamster) is the source of this 297-nucleotide unclassified non-coding RNA. It matches the Rfam family "Metazoan signal recognition particle RNA". From Rfam's summary of the family: The signal recognition particle (SRP) is a universally conserved ribonucleoprotein. It is involved in the co-translational targeting of proteins to membranes. Lineage: Eukaryota; Metazoa; Chordata; Mammalia; Rodentia; Cricetidae. The record is from Ensembl.